CGUGAGAUGUUCGGGUUAAGUCCCGCAACGAGCGCAACCCUCGACCUUAGUUGCCAGCAUUCAGUUGGGCACUCUAAGGUGACUGCCGGCUAAAAGUCGGAGGAAGGUGGGGAUGACGUCAAAUCAUCAUGCCCCUUAUGACCUGGGCUACACACGUGCUACAAUGGGCGGUACAAAGGGUCGCGAACCCGCGAGGGGGAGCCAAUCCCAAAAAGCCGCUCUCAGUUCGGAUUGCAGGCUGCAACUCGCCUGCACGAAGCCGGAAUCGCUAGUAAUCGCGGAUCAGCAUGCCGCGGUGAAUACGUUCCCGGGCCUU
Molecule: ribosomal RNA, 316 nt
Filed under: uncultured Anoxybacillus sp.
Lineage: Bacteria; Bacillati; Bacillota; Bacilli; Caryophanales; Anoxybacillaceae
Description: bacterial SSU rRNA
Rfam family: Bacterial small subunit ribosomal RNA
Source: RNAcentral